CUGGCGGCGUGCCUAACACAUGCAAGUCGAACGGAGAAAGGGGACUUCGGUCCCUGAGUACAGUGGCGCACGGGUGAGUAACACGUGACUAACCUACCCUCGAGUGGGGAAUAACUUCGGGAAACCGAGGCUAAUACCGCAUAAUACCCACGGGUCAAAGGAGCAAUUCGCUUGAGGAGGGGGUCGCGGCCGAUUAGUUAGUUGGCGGGGUAAUGGCCCCACCCAAGACGGUGAUCGGUAUCCGGCCUGAGAGGGCGCACGGACACACUGGAACUGAAACACGGUCCAGACUCCUACGGGAGGCAGCAGUGGGGAAUUUUGCGCAAUGGGGGAAACCCUGACGCAGCAACGCCGCGUGGAGGAUGAAGUCUCUUGGGACGUAAACUCCUUUCGAUCGGGACGAUUAUGACGGUACCGGAAGAAGAAGCCCCGGCUAACUUCGUG
This 444-nucleotide ribosomal RNA is filed under the name uncultured bacterium. RNAcentral's name for it is "bacterial SSU rRNA". It matches the Rfam family "Bacterial small subunit ribosomal RNA", at positions 36 to 507 of the family's 1533-position model. The record is from RNAcentral.